CUUAGAGUUUGAUCCUGACUCAGAGCGAUUUUUGGCGGCAGGCUUAACACGUGCAAGUCGAACGGGCACUUCGGUGCUAGUGGCAGACGGGUGAGUAACGCGUGGGGAACGUGCCUUUCGGUUCGGAAUAAUCCAGGGAAACUUGGACUAAUACCGGAUACGCCCUUCGGGGGAAAGAUUUAUCGCCGAAAGAUCGGCCCGCGUCUGAUUAGCUAGUUGGUGAGGUAAAGGCUCACCAAGGCGACGAUCAGUAGCUGGUCUGAGAGGAUGAUCAGCCACAUUGGGACUGAGACACGGCCCAAACUCCUACGGGAGGCAGCAGUGGGGAAUAUUGGACAAUGGGCGCAAGCCUGAUCCAGCCAUGCCGCGUGAGUGAUGAAGGCCUUAGGGUUGUAAAGCUCUUUUGUCCGGGAAGAUAAUGACUGUACCGGAAGAAUAAGCCCCGGCUAACUUCGUGCCAGCAGCCGCGGUAAUACGAAGGGGGCUAGCGUUGCUCGGAAUCACUGGGCGUAAAGGGCGCGUAGGCGGACUUUUAAGUCGGAGGUGAAAGCCCAGGGCUCAACCCUGGAAUUGCCUUCGAUACUGGGAGUCUUGAGUUCGGAAGAGGUUGGUGGAACUGCGAGUGUAGAGGUGAAAUUCGUAGAUAUUCGCAAGAACACCGGUGGCGAAGGCGGCCAACUGGUCCGAAACUGGCGCUGAGGCGCGAAAGCGUGGGGAGCAAACAGGAUUAGAUACCCUGGUAGUCCACGCCGUAAACGAUG
RNAcentral lists this ribosomal RNA (761 nucleotides) under uncultured bacterium. RNAcentral's name for it is "bacterial SSU rRNA". It matches the Rfam family "Bacterial small subunit ribosomal RNA", at positions 1 to 811 of the family's 1533-position model. The record is from RNAcentral.